This 70-nucleotide transfer RNA is filed under the name Camelus bactrianus (Bactrian camel). It matches the Rfam family "tRNA". From Rfam's summary of the family: Transfer RNA (tRNA) molecules are approximately 80 nucleotides in length. Their secondary structure includes four short double-helical elements and three loops (D, anti-codon, and T loops). Lineage: Eukaryota; Metazoa; Chordata; Mammalia; Artiodactyla; Camelidae. The record is from Rfam by way of RNAcentral. RNAcentral also lists the same sequence under 2 other names.
GGGGACAGCUCAGUGGUAGAGCGCAUGCUUAGUAAGCUCAAGGCCCUGGGUUCAAUCCCCAGUGCCUCCA